Molecule: ribosomal RNA, 254 nt
Filed under: uncultured bacterium
Lineage: Bacteria
Description: partial 16S ribosomal RNA
Rfam family: Bacterial small subunit ribosomal RNA
Source: RNAcentral
CACGUAGGGGGCAAGCGUUGUCCGGAUUUAUUGGGCGUAAAGAGCUCGUAGGCGGUUCGGUAAGUCGUGUGUGAAACCUCCAGGCUCAACCUGGAGAUGCCACCUGAUACUGCUGUGACUCGAGUCCGGUAGGGGAGCGUGGAAUUCCUGGUGUAGCGGUGAAAUGCGCAGAUAUCAGGAGGAACACCAGCGGCGAAGGCGGCGCUCUGGGCCGGAACUGACGCUGAGGAGCGAAAGCGUGGGUAGCAAACAGG